CGCGGUGCUCGGCAGCCCGCUCCGCGAUGGGAGCCGCGGCGGUUGCGGCGCACGGCCCGCGCUCCUCCCUCGCCUCCUCCUCUUUCUCCUCCUCCUCAGGGCUCCAGUCAGGCCGAGCCGCUCCGCUCACGAAGCAACUUGAAGAGGCAAGAAAACUUUUGGAGCUGUAAAAUCCAAGCUGAUGCCUCUGCUGGAUAUUCUCUUUCUCUUUCAGAAAGGCAAAUUGAGAUAACUUGCUGCCUUUUGUGG
This is a long non-coding RNA of Microtus ochrogaster (prairie vole), 249 nucleotides long. RefSeq lists it as uncharacterized. The record is from RefSeq and is a predicted model, not a curated record. The transcript has 3 exons. Lineage: Eukaryota; Metazoa; Chordata; Mammalia; Rodentia; Cricetidae.